CAAGUCCAGAAUGCUAUUUGUUUGUUAGAUUUUGGGUUUGUUCCCCUUUAGGUUUCUUGAGUGGUGGAUCUGUUUCCGCAUUCUCGGCUGGGGUGCUUAUCCUGCCCGGGGUCUCCUGCACACACCUGCCUGCCCAUCCCUGCCUGUGAGCUCCCAUCCCCAGCCCUGGGGUGUUCAUGUGUCUGCGGAGCACACCAUCACCCUCAUUCAAAGGGACAGCUCCACAGUGAAGCUGAGACACUGGCAGGAGCCGUCACCUCCCAGCACAAGCUAAACGCAUUACUUCCUCAGACUGACAGAGAUCGGGGACCACUGAGACAGAACAUCUGUCGAAGGACAAUGAGAAUUUGAUUAGAAGAGAACAUGGACUUUCUCUUGAAGCUGUUUCAGCACUGCCUUGGGAAUAGAAAUUGGUCAGUCUCCUCCAAAAGGCUUUGUUCAUACCCUGCACCAUCACUGGGAGAAUAUUUCCUUUCCAUCUACAAUAAACUCUAAGGUGAGAUACUAAGAAAUCUGUGCGGAUUGGUAAAACAAAGUCAAAAGAAAUCAAAACAGAAUGAAAAGAGCACAACUCCUAAGGUCCUGACUUAGAGUCCUAAAGAUUCUUGCUGAGGACUUUGUAGCAGGCACUGGGCUGCUGCCUGCUAGCUCUGUGUAUCUAGAUUAUGAGUCUUCGCUUUUUCCAAACCAAUGAAAUAAAUAAUACAUCCCCUGCCAGGGGCAAACUUCCACAUG
This 735-nucleotide long non-coding RNA is filed under the name Fukomys damarensis (Damara mole-rat). RNAcentral describes it as "lncRNA (ENSFDAG00000031742.1)". Lineage: Eukaryota; Metazoa; Chordata; Mammalia; Rodentia; Bathyergidae. The record is from RNAcentral.